Molecule: long non-coding RNA, 209 nt
Filed under: Lathyrus oleraceus (garden pea)
Lineage: Eukaryota; Viridiplantae; Streptophyta; Magnoliopsida; Fabales; Fabaceae
Description: Pisum sativum (pea) long non-coding RNA (PSAT_LNC039552)
Source: RNAcentral
ACCGUGAUAGUAACUGGAGCCGCAUCUGCCAGCGUUGACAAAUCAACCGGGUCGAAAUAGAUAGUUAUGGUGGAGACAUCUUCCUUCCCUGAAUCAGCCUUCUCAAACCUGAGGCUUCCCUCAUCCAUCAGCCUCUGGACAGCCUCCCUUAACAAUAUACACCCAUAAGGAGCAACAGUGCACGCAGCACAACAUUCAUCACAACCCGG